This is a long non-coding RNA of Entelurus aequoreus (snake pipefish), 718 nucleotides long. RefSeq lists it as uncharacterized. The transcript is spliced from 6 exons. Lineage: Eukaryota; Metazoa; Chordata; Actinopteri; Syngnathiformes; Syngnathidae. The record is from RefSeq and is a predicted model, not a curated record.
CUGACAGGUAGUGAUGUCCUGCCGUGUGUCGUGCCAGUAGAGACUAGGCAUGGUCCUCCAGUGGCGGUAGAGGCGUGUGUGCAACACAGACAGCGUGAGGAGAACCAGCAAGAAGCCCAGUGCCGCUGCAGCCCACACCGCCUCAUCGGACCUGGGGUGCCUCAGCAAGCCGUUGCCUGCAAGCGAGGCCCGGCCCUUAGAGUCUUCCUUGCAAGCACACUGUUGGUCUUGGAUGCAGCUACCACAGUCAGGGAGGCGAGGGGAGCAGUGAACAGCAGUGGGCAGCAGCGGUGGCCGCGCCCGGGAAUCAUUUUGGUGAUUUAACCCCCAAUUCCAACCCUUGAUGCUGAGUGCCAAGCAGGGAGGCAAUGAGGUAUGUUUCCUGACCGUGGAUUCACUGAGCCAUGGAUGUGGGCUGAUGAUGUAGUCAGGCAGACAGGAGUUGGCCAGGAUGGACAGAAAGAGCCGCUCGCUGACAGCAGCACAGGGAUGAUAGAGCAAUACAGCAGCUUCAUGCUGGAAACACACAACAAACACAACCAAAAGGAGGUCGCAAGAGCCAUCCAUCCAUUUUCAACACAGCUUGUCCUCCUGGAGCCUAUCUCGGCUGACUUUGGCCAGAAUUGUAAGCAUGUGUACCAAGAUAAUGAUGAUACCUACUGUAUCCAUGGUUACCUGAGUGGAGUCAGACCAGGCAGAUACCGGACAUGCCGUAUAG